This 392-nucleotide ribosomal RNA is filed under the name uncultured bacterium. Its description in RNAcentral is "partial 16S ribosomal RNA". It matches the Rfam family "Bacterial small subunit ribosomal RNA", at positions 523 to 918 of the family's 1533-position model. The record is from RNAcentral.
AUACGGAGGAUGCGAGCGUUAUCCGGAUUUAUUGGGUUUAAAGGGAGCGUAGGCGGGAGCUUAAGUCAGCGGUUAAAUGGUGCGGCUCAACCGUGCCCUGCCGUUGAAACUGGGUUUCUUGAGAGUGCAAGAGGCGGAUGGCAUUCAUGGUGUAGCGGUGAAAUGCUUAGAUAUCAUGAAGAACUCCGAUUGCGAAGGCAGUCCGCUGGGGCACGUCUGACGCUGAUGCUCGAAGGUGCGGGAAUCAAACAGGAUUAGAUACCCUGGUAGUCCGCACGGGAAACGAUGAUUACCCGCUGUCGGCGGCAGACAGUCGGCGGCCAAGCGAAAGCGAUAAGUAAUCCACCUGGGGAGUACGCCGGCAACGGUGAAACUCAAAUGAAUUGACGGGG